Molecule: ribosomal RNA, 468 nt
Filed under: uncultured bacterium
Lineage: Bacteria
Description: partial 16S ribosomal RNA
Rfam family: Bacterial small subunit ribosomal RNA
Source: RNAcentral
GACGAACGCUGGCGGCGUGCUUAACACAUGCCAGUCGAACGGAAAGGCCCUGCUUUUGUGGGGUGCUCGAGUGGCGAACGGGUGAGUAACACGUGAGUAACCUGCCCUUGACUUUGGGAUAACUUCAGGAAACUGGGGCUAAUACCGGAUAGGAGCUCCUGCUGCAUGGUGGGGGUUGGAAAGUUUCGGCGGUUGGGGAUGGACUCGCGGCUUAUCAGCUUGUUGGUGGGGUAGUGGCUUACCAAGGCUUUGACGGGUAGCCGGCCUGAGAGGGUGACCGGCCACAUUGGGACUGAGAUACGGCCCAGACUCCUACGGGAGGCAGCAGAGGGGAAUAUUGCACAAUGGGCGGAAGCCUGAUGCAGCAACGCCGCGUGCGGGAUGACGGCCUUCGGGUUGUAAACCGCUUUCGCCUGUGACGAAGCGUGAGUGACGGUAAUGGGUAAAGAAGCACAGGCUAACUACGUG